Long non-coding RNA from Neopsephotus bourkii (Bourke's parrot), 572 nucleotides. RefSeq lists it as uncharacterized. The transcript is spliced from 3 exons. NCBI's taxonomy places the organism in Eukaryota, Metazoa, Chordata, Aves, Psittaciformes, Psittacidae. The record is from RefSeq and is a predicted model, not a curated record.
GUUGAAGGUGCUGAGUAUGGCAAGAGGGUGGAAGAGUGUGCCCUGCUGGGAGAGGAAGAAUAGGAAAGCUAGGAAGAGAAGAAGCUCCACCAACUAUGCCAGGCAGCCAGCUUGAUGUCUUGGCCUUGUGUGUCUCCAUCCAUCAUGGGCUCAGAGCAUUAGCUGGAGACUUCACUGGGUAAUCCUUGCAUCUGGUACAAAGUCCUGGGGCUGAGCAGUGUCUAAUGGCACAGGAAGAAAAUCAGUUUCAAACUGAAGCUACUAAAUGCUGAGGAAUGCAUCUUAUUAACUUCAUGCUCUGUUGAGGUUUCCUGGCAUGUUCUCACUUAGCUGUUUGCCCAGGUUUGUGGAAUGGGCAUUGGGCAUCUUGCUUGGUAAGGAAUGGAGAUGUCAGCAGGACUCAAGCAGGCCUUAAAGAAAUUUGGGGUUGGUUUCAUUCCCACACCCCUUCUGGGUGAUCUGCCUCCUUGACUGUGCCAGUCUGGUUCAGCUUUAGAUCCAAUUUUGAAUGGUUUUGGGCAUUAUUUAAGCCUGUGUAAUAUUUUAUCCUACAUAUAAAAUUAUUCUUUGUG